This 718-nucleotide ribosomal RNA is filed under the name uncultured organism. RNAcentral's name for it is "SSU rRNA". It matches the Rfam family "Bacterial small subunit ribosomal RNA", at positions 28 to 757 of the family's 1533-position model. The record is from RNAcentral.
GACGAACGCUGGCGGCGUGCUUAACACAUGCAAGUCCCUUGGAAAGGCCCUGCUUUUGUGGGGUGCUCGAGUGGCGAACGGGUGAGUAACACGUGAGUAACCUGCCCUUGACUUUGGGAUAACUUCAGGAAACUGGGGCUAAUACCGGAUAGGAGCUCCUGCUGCAUGGUGGGGGUUGGAAAGUUUCGGCGGUUGGGGAUGGACUCGCGGCUUAUCAGCUUGUUGGUGGGGUAGUGGCUUACCAAGGCUUUGACGGGUAGCCGGCCUGAGAGGGUGACCGGCCACAUUGGGACUGAGAUACGGCCCAGACUCCUACGGGAGGCAGCAGUGGGGAAUAUUGCACAAUGGGCGGAAGCCUGAUGCAGCAACGCCGCGUGCGGGAUGACGGCCUUCGGGUUGUAAACCGCUUUCGCCUGUGACGAAGCGUGAGUGACGGUAAUGGGUAAAGAAGCACCGGCUAACUACGUGCCAGCAGCCGCGGUGAUACGUAGGGUGCGAGCGUUGUCCGGAUUUAUUGGGCGUAAAGGGCUCGUAGGUGGUUGAUCGCGUCGGAAGUGUAAUCUUGGGGCUUAACCCUGAGCGUGCUUUCGAUACGGGUUGACUUGAGGAAGGUAGGGGAGAAUGGAAUUCCUGGUGGAGCGGUGGAAUGCGCAGAUAUCAGGAGGAACACCAGUGGCGAAGGCGGUUCUCUGGGCCUUUCCUGACGCUGAGGAGCGAA